UCAGGGACGGAUAUACUUUUUGGACCACUAUAAGAGUAUUCAAGUCACAUGUUGACUCGCUUAUUAGCUCCCAAGAAAUGUCCCUGCAAAGAGCAAGCAUCCUAUUGGAAACAAGGUACGUAGUCUUUAGAGGAUUUUACUGAUAUUGAGUGUUCUAUCAAUCAAGGUUUGGGCAUUCAAGUGAUAUGAAAAUUCUUUGGGAAUGUAAAAUUGCUGAUGAGAUGAAACAGGCAUGAAAUGUCUACAAGCAGCCAUGAAGUCUCACAAAGUUACGAGGAGUUGUUAAGAAAGUGAUUUGAAAUAGCUGAUGAAACGGAAGAAUACUGAUAGGAACCAGAUCCAGAACUACGAAUAUUUCGUAUUAGAUGAAGAAUAGUCUCUAGAAUAGAAAUAUCAAGAUAAAACACAGUAAAAGAAAUCAGAACAGAUAGAGGGUCGCAUACAAUCCUAGAACUAAAAUAGAUGGAAGGUCGCAUACAACCCUCCAGCCCUUUCUUGUCAAUGCACAAGAUACUAACUCCGAUUCCUCCCCCUUUCUUUCUUGAUCCGCCCCUCUUUAUAUCUUCUCAUUUCCCUCUCUUAUUUAGGAAGUUAGUCUCCUGCCAUAACUGCUCUUGCCAUAACCGCUUUUUGCCAUAACUGCUCUUUGCUGUAAUUGUGCCUUCCCUCAAUAAUACGAACUGUUAUUGACUUAUUGGGCUUUGGUCCUUCUUUCUUCUAACAUAUGUGCAUGGAGCCUUAUCAAAUACACGAACUUUUCAAUGUUGUAGUUCCAACGUUAUUCUAAAUAAAGGUUAACGUAACAUCUUGUGGAAUGAAUUACUGUCGGUAUUCUAUGUAACUUAAUGCUAGAGUUGUUCAAGGUCCCGCCUUUUUGAAUGCAUAGAAAAACGGAAUUUUCUUAUGCAAUACCCUUUCUUAACGUGGAUCUCAUAGCUGUGAAUAAACUGGUGCAGAAUAGGAAAGCCUAAUGAUGAAUACUUUGAAGUUAUCGCUGAUAGGUGAAGAAGAUAUCUUAGUGGGUAUUGUGUAUUGUAUGUACUGUUGGAUCAAAUGAAAGGUCAUAGUGAGGAGACGGUAUUAUGAUGAGAUUGAUACGGUCUAGUGAUAGAAAAAAAGUAUUAUAUUUGAAUGAUUAUGGCUUUGUGAAGUUAGGGAUAACAGUUACAUGUAUGGAUAUCAUUUACAGUGAGCAACGUGCAAAGAAGGUAUGGUGGGUUUCUGACGAAGGAACAAAAUAAUCAUGUUUUUUGGGGUAGAAGGGGAAGCAAAAGACUCAGCAACUUGAAUGGAAAUAUGUGGAAGGACAGAUGGAUCCAUUUAAACAAUGUGGUUUUCAAAUUCUCGGACAUAAUGGCUUGGGAUCCCAGUCAGGUGGUAUUGGUGGAUGCUGAUGAUGCAACAUAAACAAAUAUUCUUGGCCAAGGCAAGAUAUUGAAAAGCAAACUUAUCUACAGUGCACAUUGAAAAAACCAAUAGUCGGGCUAACUAAAUGCUGUUGCCAUCCCGUGGACCUUAAUUGCACUCUUCAUCCCAUUAUCUGGAGAGAGAGAUAGACUUUUGACAGAAGGUCCAGUCAAAAGUACUGCUAGCAGAUGUUCGGACGUUGGUGAGCAUGGAAAAAAUUGAUCUGAAACUAUUACAGACCCGAUUAGAAUGUUGCUAUAAAAGCAUACUGAUGGUAAUCAUGGUCGAGAAAGAAAGAAAGCUUUUGGACGUUGUGCAUGGGAUCAUCUGCUUCGGAUCAUAAUUGUCACCUGCUGAUCUACUUUAGGGACGCAAAUGUGACCCCCCUUGAAUACAAAAAAUUGCCGCCAAAUAGGCUGAAUUAUCUAAUUAUCUUUCUGAGCUGAUCUCGUCUACUCCCACAUAGUGUGUUCGUUAAAGGCUAGCAGAGAGAUAAGAAGAUCAGGGGAAGGGUCCUCCGCUGGAGCUCAGCCUAUGUAUGCCACUUAUACGUUACUCCCCAAAUCAAUGAGUCUGGCUUGCUUUUCAUUUCUGGGAAAAUUUUUACUGUCGUUGGCUUUUUCUAAAUGACCCUGAAUGAUAAUUGUUGUGGUUUUGCAUUAUUUAAGUGAUUCUUUAACAUAAUUUAUGUAGUUUUGAUUAUAUCGUCCCUCUUUCACCCAAAAAACGUUGGCAGUUCCCGCAUGCUAUCCUGGAUGAUUGGAUCACAGUCGGAUCAUUAUCCAGACUGAUUCCAGAUCCCAUUUGCAGAAUAGCAUUUUAUUUGGAAGAUUAUGUGCUUUUAUAAUUAUGCUUAUUUUGAGAAUAUUUAAAUGCUACGUUACUUUCCCCUUUUAAAAAUGUAAUAAUUUCUGAGUGAACUAGUCUGACAGUUAACAUUUCUUAUUGAUUUGCAUUUUGGAAAUUUGUUUGUAUAUUGAAUCACAUAUCCAAAAGAUAUCUUGGAAUAGAUACUGAUCCCGAGUCUAGACCAUGUCGGAAAUAAAAUAUGCUAUAUUAGCUGUUGAGAUUUGCAACUAUCUUAUACUGUGUGCAACCUUGGCUUUACUUGGGACGCUUUCUUUAAGAGUUCUUGAGGUAGCUUGAGCCAAAUUUGUAAAAGAAAUUAGCAAGAGCAUUUGCCGUCUUUUCACUGUCUUAUCAGAAAAGAAGAGAUUAACUUGCCCAACCAAGGUGAAAUGACCUAUUUAGUCUGGUUAAAAUCCACAAUUAUUGUGAAUUCAGUUCAGUUACAUUGAUUAUUAUAUGAAGGGCAAGGGCAGUGUAAAUAUCUUAAGCUAUCGCUCUAAAGUUGGCAACAAGGGAAUGAGUCAAAUAUUUAUAUCCUUCUGAAGAGAAGAGUGUAUGUUGUAAGUUAUUUAUGAGAAUUAUGUCUCUUCCAGGAUUAUCAUUUCGUGGCUCUUUAGUAUUCUGUUUAUUUUUGGCCAUUUUGAGGAGACUUCCAUUCGACAGUUGUUUAUCUUAUCGUGGUCUCUGCGCAGUGAGCGAAGAUGUCCUCAAUAUAAUUGUCUUUUCUAGUACAAUGGGUAUCCAAAGUAAGUUCACCGCCCAGUCGUUGAAUAUUUGCAAUAAUUUUGUGUUGGAAUUUAAGGGCUAGGGAUCUACAGUCGUCAUAUUUUCCCGGACCCAGACAGCUUGUUCACAGAUGAAGAACACAGUAAGGUAAAAAGAGAUUGCGAGCUUCAGUGAGAGCUGAACACACCAGAUAUGGACAACUUUUUUUUGUAAGAUGAUGUGACAAAAGAAAUCGAAGUUGGAGUUACCAGACAGAUGCUAUUUCGAGCCAAGAUAGGUUGCCGUUUGUUUUUAGUGAUUUCUUUCAGGAGAAUGCGCCAGAUAAUGAUUUUUAUGCGUGUAGUGAUAUGAUAUUUUUUUAAUUGCAUAAUAUUAUUUCCUUGGGGAGAUUGUUAGAUUAUGCAGAGUUUCCUGUUUCCCACGUCAUUUUCUGCAACAUUUCUCACUGCGUUUCACAGAUGCAGCAAGAUGUUAGUUAAUGUGUGAAUAAUCAUUUGCAGAUGCAAGUGUGAUCAGCAUGGUUGUUGGAGGUGGAGUGGCUGCCCUGAAAGCCCUUGAGCACGGCAGCGGCCUUCUCAUGAAUGAGAUGCCCAUCUACGUGAGCCGAUAUCAUUUAACUGAGAAUAUAAUAUACCUUGGAGUUCAGGGGAAUCAUGAGUACAUUAUUUAUUUUAUUUAUUUAUUUAUUUUCAUGUGUGGCAGAUUUCAGAGGUCUUGUGAGAAGACCCGUGGGCACGAGGAUCGCGAGCAUGGGGAAAGCAAGAACUUGGAAUGGAAGACGGCGAUCAUAUAUAUAUAGAAUGCGCAAUGUGUAAGUUACUUUCUCGACAAUACUUUCUCGAGAUUCACGCAUGAAAGUAGAGAGAGACAGAGACACAGACACAGACACAGAGAGAGUAAGUUAGUCGGCAAUAGAAGGAUUCACACAUUAGCUGGAGCAGGGUGUUCCCCGCUGGCCUGGCUCGCCCACAGUAGCGGGGGUCACGGAGCCGGCGUGAAGGGGCCUCGUGACGUAGGAGAGACCUCCCAGUAAUGAAUGAGAAUGGGUCAGAAUAGGGGGGGAUUGACCCAUUUCAAUGGAUGUAUUUUGAGCUGCAAUAUAUAAUUUCUAGACUUGGGCAGUUUUUGGCCCAUUCGAUUAAAUGUUUUAA
This 4133-nucleotide long non-coding RNA is filed under the name Spirodela polyrhiza (greater duckweed). Its description in RNAcentral is "long non-coding RNA (SPOL_LNC000858)". Lineage: Eukaryota; Viridiplantae; Streptophyta; Magnoliopsida; Alismatales; Araceae. The record is from RNAcentral.